This is a long non-coding RNA of Vespula vulgaris, 528 nucleotides long. RefSeq lists it as uncharacterized. The record is from RefSeq and is a predicted model, not a curated record. NCBI's taxonomy places the organism in Eukaryota, Metazoa, Arthropoda, Insecta, Hymenoptera, Vespidae. The transcript is spliced from 3 exons.
AAUUUAUUAUCUUGAAACAGAAAAUUAUAGAAUAAUUAUUUAAUAGAUUUAAUUUAGUAAAACGAUGUUUAAUAGAAUAAUUGUUUAACAGAUUAAUUUAAUAGAUUAAUUGUUCAUAUUCAAAAUAAGUAUUUUCAAUAUCGAUUACGAUCUGAUCUUACGUCCUGAUAUUCAACGAAGGAAAUAUUAAAAGUGAGAAGAAAGAAGAAAGAAGAUAAACGUACGCAGGUUGUAAGGAACGUUAAUAGAAAUUUUACGAAUGUACUUCAGUUGUCGAUCGCGCGCAAUGCGAUCUUAGAGUCUAGUGUUUGUGCGAAAUAGUUUCAAUACUUUGCAACCGAAUACGUUGCAUUAAAAAUAAAAUAAAAUCGCGAAAUUAGAGUCAGUGUUGUUCACCUGUAACUUUAUCGACGAACGUAAAGCUUCGUUCGGAUGUAACAACAUAUUAGUCAACGAUUCAUCGAUCCAAAUGGAUUCAACGAUCGCUUUAGAGGAACGAGUGUUUUGGUGCCAUCGUAGAACUUCUUA